Molecule: long non-coding RNA, 1058 nt
Organism: Cavia porcellus (domestic guinea pig)
Lineage: Eukaryota; Metazoa; Chordata; Mammalia; Rodentia; Caviidae
Exons: 2
Source: RefSeq, a predicted model, not a curated record
AGCUCUGAGGUCACUGGACGAUCCACAAACACGGAAACGCGAAGGUGACGUCUCUGCAACACUGGUACUAUGGCUCACCGUACAGCUGUGGGACUUGAGCCCUUGGCGCCACAGUGGCCCUGGACGACAUUAGCACCGGCCAGGGACUGGCUAUGCAGUCCAGGCUGGCCUUGAACUCCGUAUGCGGCUGAAGAUGGCUUCGAACUCAGGCCUCCGAGGGAUUACAGGGGUGCACCACCACACUCAGCUGUAGACCUUGUCCCUGUGUAGAUCCUUGGCGGGUAGUGUGGGGAUCAUGGAGAACAGUGCAGGUCUGGAAAGGGGGAGAGACUCAGCCACAGACCUGGAGAGAGGUGGCCUGGAAGGAGGGACUCUGGCUGUGACCGGUCUGGGAGGGGCAGGAGGACUUGGGGGAUGGGGCAGGAACGGGGGAGUCUCUGGUCCCUGCCCCCACCUUCCCCGGGCAGCUGUUCUUGGGCAGCUGUUCUUAGAGCUGCCCUACUGGGGCUCCAGAGGGGGAGGCUGGGAGCAGCAGGGGGUUCUCUGGGGACCAAACCCCUCCUCCCUAGGGAGCCCCGCCCACCUCGGUCCUCUCCUGCUCCCCUUUCUUUCCCGGCUCCCCUCCCCCUACACCGUUGGUCUGGGGAUGAACUGCCCCGCUGGGCUGAAGUGGGUGACCGUCAGUGGCCUUUGCUUCAGAGGCUGUGACGACUUGGGCUGACACCUGUCCCGCUGCAGGGACCCGGAAGGCCCCUUCAGUGAUGCAGCAUGAAUUUAGGGUCCUCAUUCAUUCCCCUGACAGACUCUGGGUGCUGCUUCCUCCAGCCGGCCUGUCCUGGGUGGCCCUGCUGGCUUAGGUCCACAGCCCUGUGGGAACCCAGUGGAGGGCAGUCACAGGGGCUCCUUUGGGAGCUCUGGGAGGCGCCAUCAGGGACUGAGGAGAGGCUGGAGGGCACCAGGGGAGCCGGGCUGGAAGGACCCCCUCUCUUUGAGGCUCACCAACCACCACACCAGCUCCCACUGCAGAUCAAUAAACUGCUGUUUCUGUUUAAAAAUUA